Molecule: non-coding RNA, 49 nt
Organism: Trichobilharzia regenti
Lineage: Eukaryota; Metazoa; Platyhelminthes; Trematoda; Strigeidida; Schistosomatidae
Source: Rfam
GUACUUCUGAAGAGUCCCAAACUGGGUUGACGAAACAGCUGUCCAGUAC